RNAcentral lists this ribosomal RNA (443 nucleotides) under uncultured bacterium. Its description in RNAcentral is "partial 16S ribosomal RNA". It matches the Rfam family "Bacterial small subunit ribosomal RNA", at positions 338 to 795 of the family's 1533-position model. The record is from RNAcentral.
CCUACGGGAGGCAGCAGUGGGGAAUAUUGGGCAAUGGAGGCAACUCUGACCCAGCAACGCCGCGUGAAUGAUGAAGGUCUUCGGAUUGUAAAGUUCUGUGAUGGGGGAUGAACACAAUGACGGUACCCCAAUAGCAAGCCACGGCUAACUACGUGCCAGCAGACGCGUUAAUACGUAGGUGGCAACCGUUAUACGGAAUGACUGGGCGUAAAGGGUGCGUAGGUGGUUUAGUAAGUUGGCGGUGUAAAUCCGGGGCUCAACCUCGGGGCUACCGAAAAAAUCAUUAGACUAGAGUGCAGAAGAGGUGAGUGGAAUUCCUAGUGUAGCGGUGGAAUGCGUAGAUAUUAGGAGGAACACCAGUGGCGAAGGCGGCUUACUGGACUGUAACUGACGUUGAGGCUCGAAAGCGUGGGGAGCAAACAGGAUUAGAUACCCUUGUAGUC